Acinonyx jubatus (cheetah) is the source of this 13385-nucleotide long non-coding RNA. RefSeq lists it as uncharacterized. NCBI's taxonomy places the organism in Eukaryota, Metazoa, Chordata, Mammalia, Carnivora, Felidae. The transcript has 2 exons. The record is from RefSeq and is a predicted model, not a curated record.
AUAUGUGAGUAUAAAUGCAGUUGACUUUGUUCUAGGCUUGUGUUUAGCCUUAUUCAGUAUUAAAAGUAAGUUUUGCUUCAUGUAUCACGAUAGAGUUGAAUAUGCUUGAUGUUUCCUCUCAAUUCUGUUUGAUUGCCACUGGAAGCUCUUUUAAGGUCUAUUAAACUUGAGACAAAAAAAUACGUGUGUGUGUGGGUGUGUGUGUGUGUGUGUGUGUGUGUGUGUUGUAUAUAGUAAAAAUAAAAACAUCAGUGGCACAGAACAUGGCAACACUGAAAAUAGGGUAAACUUAUAACAACUUUAAAAGAAAAGGACUUCUCACAAGACACCAAUCUGCACAAAAUGAGGCUGUGUGUUGGUUUCUAGAAAAGUUACAAGAAAAUGGGAGAAAUGAUGUGUUGUCACUAUAGCCUUCAUGUAGAGGUACUUUCAAUGACCUUUGAUACUGGAUGAAAUAUAAAUGGUCAAGUUUACUUUUUAUACCCCUUAAACAAGGCUGCAUCUUGGCAAACAGAAGACAGAAGUAGGAAGAAUCAGUAGGUAAAAAAAUUAUUUUGGGUGAAGUUAGGAGUCUGGGGACCAGAUGCAAUGGUUCAGUAUCUUAAAAAGUCACUUAUCAUGUGACAAUCCUGCUAUAGUCUCCCUAAUAAUUCAGCAAAUUAUCUCUUCUUAAGCAUUUGUUUUUAAUGUAAUGAGUCUCUGAAUUACUAAGGAGAAUGAGAUCAUGUUUUGGUUAACCUUGAUGUUAAGCACGAUAAAGCUAUUUGUGCCUUAUUUUAUAUCUGGAAAAUAUUACUACUGUUUUAAAAAAACUUUUUUAUAGGUCAAUAUUAGUAUCAUUUUUCCUAUGGUUAACCUAAAGCCCAUUCUGUUUCAUUAAAGCCCAGUCUAAAUAACCCUGCUAAUCAUGAUAUAUACUUUUUUUCAAAUUCAUAUAGUUAGUGUUAACCAGUGAUGUAUUUGAUUGGACACUGCCUUGCUAAUUCUUAUAUGUAUAUUAACUACUUAACUUUGUCAUAUCAAAGUUUAGUUUAUAAGUUUCUUGAAUGCAUCUUACCUAUAUUCUUCUUCUUUGAUAAUUGUUUCAUCUUUUUUUUCUUUUUUUUUUUUUUUUUGUCCACUGCUAAGUUGAGAGUAGAUGCUUGAUAAAUACUUGAUAUUACGGUCUUGAUAGCAGGUGAAAAUAUUUAAAUCUGGAUAUAUCCCUGUCUUCUCUUCUCCCCAUCAUCAUCAGUUCCUUUAAAAAUCCAGAAAACUAAGGCAGGAAAUAAUUGCUUGUGAAGGACCACACAAGAAGUUAGGCCUGAAACUAAAAAAUUGCACCUCACACUUUCAAACUUAGAAUCCUAAACUCCAAACAAAAGGCCACACAACCUCCAUCAGUAUACUUAGAUUAAGCAAAACAUCCCGAAAGGCAAAGGUGCUCUUGUCCUGAAGGUAAGUUUGUGACAGUGUUAUUCAUUGUAGCAAGUAGAGACUUCUGCUCUUGUUAAAAUGUCCGUGGCCCCAGCAUGCUGAAGACAGGGGCGAUGUAAACAUUGUUGAACAUAGAUUUUGGAAUCUGGGAAAGAAAUCCUGUCUGGUCUCCCCUUGGAUGAAAGGCUCUCACUCCUCUGGAGUGGUCAGUUGUUGUGUGGUGUGUGGACAGCUGAGAGUCAUUUCCUCCUCUUUAUUCCAAAUGAAGCUGGACACUCCCUUCACAUUUUUGAAAAGUUAUCUGUGUUAAAAGGGAGCUAACGUGUUUACCCAGUGGGCUCGCAGCCAGGACCAUGCCACCUCCUUCUCUUGGUCUGUCCCCUCUCCGUUUCCCAAUCUCCUCUGUACCAAGAUGGGCAGAUAGGAAAAGUUGCCAAUCAGGAUGCCAGAGCUUCAAAGGGAUCCAUCGUGAGUGCACACAAAAGCUCGUUUGUUCAGUACUUGGAAGGAGAUGCCAGUGGCUUCCAGGCAGACAGAGAAUCGGGGGUUUGUCUUCACUUGGCUUCUUGAUUUCCCCAUCUGGCUGAUGGAGAAGUCAUUCUUUUCAUCUGGUGGCUUCACUAAAGUAAGAAUGAAUACAAGUGCCUCUCGGACUUCACUUAACUCCAUUUUGAAAGGGACAAACAAAGUCAUCUCUGCUUCUGGAACCAACUGAAUGACAAGAUUUCUUAAAAAAAUAAAUAGUGUUUGCGAUUAAUAACCCUCAUAUACUAGACUACAGACUUUAGUGAUAAACAUGUCAGGUGACUGGCAAUAUGGGACGAUCUGACUUUAUAUGUCAGAAAGGUUUGGGCGGUACUCCUCACAAACAUCCUCCCUCAGAAAGCCCAUAGAAAGAGUACAAUUCAAGUUAGAAUACUUGACAUUGUAUGUUCAGUGUUCAUUACUUUGCCAAAAGCUUACUUUUAUAAUUCCUGCGAUCUUGGGAGGAUCCUGUUAGGCUGUUACUGGUUGUUUGACCCUGGUGUGAAUAUAUUUUCAGAGUAUAGGUUCCGGGGACAAUUAAUGGUGGGAUCAGAAAGAGUAAGGGCAUGUUUGAAGGAGAGAAAAUGAGCCUGAAGUUAGGAAAGAAAGGUAGUGGAUUUGGACACUUCUAAGCAGGGUCAGGAGUAAAGUGAAGCCUGUGAGGCUCCCAGGGCAUAACCAAUAUGUACAUAUUUUUCCCCCUCCUAAGUGUACUUUUAAUUAUGCAACUAUAAUUUUUUAAAUUUUAUUUAUAUAUAUAUUUAAUUAUAUUUUAAAACAUUUUUAUUUAUUUAUUUUGAGAGAAAUCAGAGGUGGGGCACAGAGAGAAAAGAGAGAGAAUCCCAAGGAGGCUCUGCACUGUCUGCAUGGAGCCCCAUGUUGGCUCCAAUUUUAAUAAAAAAUAUUAAUGAAAGUUAUGUUACAUAUUUUCCAAAAACAAAAGUGACUUAUCUGGAUACCAACUUUAUGGGAAAGUGCAAGGUACAAGUCCUGGGACAUUAGGAAGUUAACUCCGAAAAAAAAAAUAGGUUGGGAGUCAAAAGUUGGUACAUAAAAUACAAAUAGUUUAAAUUCUAAUAAAAAUACAACUUCAAAUUUUCUUAAUUUAUUUUUGGCAGAAGGACAAAUUGUCAAUAUAUAAUAAAUCAAUUGCUUAUAUUCUCAAACAUUAAAAAUUCUGGGUGGAAAAGUUAGAAAAAAAUCUAUUAUAAAAAGAAACACAAUUAAGUGAGCCUUACACUGUUUAUCACUGAAAAUCAAGAUGCCUAUUUUAGUUACCAUUUGGCUCUAAUCGGGACGUCUGGACCAUUCGCUGAUAAUAGAAUAACUCUCUUUUCCAUUUCACCUACAGCUGCCCAAGAGAUCUUUUUUGAGAACUGAAAAAUGGCUAGCUAUCAUUUGUGAUUCACAUUCUAGCAUUGACCACCUCUGAACGGACGUAUGAACACUUAACAUCGUAUCCAUCCUCCUAACACAUCUGCAGUGUCCAUUGCCUGUUAACAAUUGGCACAGUGUGUGCAGUAGAUCCCUAGAACUUACCCAUGUUGCACUACUGAACCUUUAUAUCCGUCGAAUAGCACUGCUUCACCCAGAUCCUGGCAACCACCCUUCUCUCUGCUUCUGUGAGUCUGAAAGAUGCCGCAUACCAAUGGAAGCAUGUAGUAUUUGUCUUUCAUUGAUGAUUCCAUUUCACAUAAUACAAUGUCUCAGGAGAGAAUAUCUGAGGUGGCGUCACUCUUAGGCUCAUGCGAGUGCAGACCGGGCACCUGGGAGUGAGCGCCUCUUAAUUUUUGCACCUGGGGAGCCAUACCUGCACCAUCCUCAUCCCAUCCCUGCUUGUAAGACAAAUAGCCACUGACUAUAACCUUGAUCAAGACCAUUCCUGGUUCCUUAGGAGCAGCUGUGGGUGUAGCAACAUACGCUGGAGGACGAGUGGGAAGAAAUGCACUCUGUUUUUGCUGUGUGAUUUGAGGUAAGCCCAAUGAUUUCCCUUAGCAUCAUUUUCACCCAGGAAACCGAAUUAAUAUUUUCUGUCUUUACCUGUCAAGAAUUGGGAAGAGUCUGAGAUUUUACUCUAAUUGUAAGCAAACAAGUUAGCCUAUCACAUUUUCAUGGAUGCUGACAGAAGAUCCAUGACUCUCAGGUCAGAUACAGGAAGCUUUCUUACUCGUGGUCACAGCAGUAGCCAGAUCAUCGGCAUUUGUAUUGGGUCCUUGAACUGCAAUUUCUAUGGGGCUACAAGAGGCAGAUCAGAUGACACAGGCACCUGCAGUGGGUUGCAUUACAGGAGGCGAACCCCAAAGUUAAGGAACCAAAGUAUUUUGUAAUGGACAAUAAGAAUGCCUGACCUUUGCUCAGAAGAGAGAGAUUAGCUUACUCUUUGCUCCAGCAGGCUCUGUGGAAUAUUUGCCUCCCUAUCUUCUUUAAGACUCUGAUAGAUUGGUUUUUAUUUUGUUGUUUAUAGACAGCCAAACUGAAUUCUAUCUAAUAGAGAGUUUGACAUCUUGAGGUAGAGUGAGAUAGCAGAAAUUGAGGACUUGACUGUCUUGGUGGUAAGGAGGUAUUGAGGUAGUGAGGGGUCAGAUAUUGCAGGCUGGACAAUUAAUAACUCUUCUUAUGGGAUAGAAAAUUCUUGUAUUGUCACUCGUCCUUUGGAAGACAAACCACAUAUGAAUUGGACCUAAAGCACUAGGGGAAAUGGCAGGAAGAAUUCAGAAUGUUGGGGUGUGUUGGGUGGUAUUUGGCAUUUUAGUAAAUUCUGGAAGGAGUGAGAAAUGAGCUCCAAGGUGGUCAGACUUCAAGCAGAGAGAAGGAAACACCUCUUCUCUUAGAGAAUUUCCAUAAGCAGCCUGUAGCAUACAUUGCCCAUGAGAUAUUGAAGGUGAGAGAAAAUCCCCUUCUAUAGCUCAAAUUAAAGCACUUUUAAGUGAUGGUUACAAAGUGGUACUAUUAGCAGAAAAUAAUAUUGUACCACCAAAGCUCGUAGCAAGAGCUCUCAACAGAUAAUGAGAACUAGAUUGACUUACAGUACUAGCUUCAGGUUCUCAAUUUCUCAUCCAGACUUAUUUUUUAAGUGGUGUCCAAGUUUCACUCCUUUGAGAGAGAGGGCAAUAAAUAACGAAGGUGGUAAAUAAAAGGUUAGAGUUACCAGGCUGAAAAACUAAGUAUUGACAAAAUCUUGGUUUUAUUUGUAUGUAGAACUAACCAUAAACUAGUAUGUAAGAAGCCUACUAAGAUGUAAGGAAAUGAUAUUGGCAAAGGUAACCUCAAGUAGGUCUUCAACACCUGGUGGCAAACCCUUAAGUGAACUAUGGGCUCUGCUGGAAGUGGGCUUUGAAAGCUGUGCAGUCUCCGAGAAGAUCAUAUGCUCCAGGACCUAUUUCAGCACGUCCAGCGAUGGUAGUGGACAUGAGUAGCUCUCUCAGGAGAAAAUGACAAGAUGAGAGUGUUUUCCCAGAAAGAAGAACCAGGGACUUCCAGAGGAACCAAGUAAGGAACUUACUCCACUGCCAGAGCUAUGUGCCUUUUCAAUUCUGUCCAUUGGUUUUAUAAUUGUUUUUAUAAUUGUUUGGACCUGUGAAGGUGGUGUGUUGGCCCAUUCUUCCGACUUCCCAAUGGAAGGUUUUAUUGCGGUUAUGCUGUCCCUUUUCUGCCAUAGUGUUUCAAGUGUGUUGGAGGCAGGAUUUUUCUCUGUUUAUAGGUCACCAGGCUAAGGGGAAUACCACCUUACUUGACAGAGGGAACUGUGCAUCACCCAGAGAUCCUAGACUCAAAGCAGUAGCUGGGGAAGACUUUGGGUUGUGUCCACUGGAGAAGGGAGUAUGUUCUUGUAGAGAAGGAGUACACAUAGAUGGAGGUAAGUCUAAAAACACAGACUGUAACAAAGACCACUGAUUAUCUCAUGAACAUCCAUUUUACUCUCCUUUUCAAUUAUAAAACCUUAACUUCAUUUUGGGGAUCUGUUUUCUCAGCUAAAGGCUAAUAUUUCUCAGUAUCCAUUAUAGCCUUAUGCAGACAUGUGGCAAAGUUCUGGCAAAUGAGAUGUUAGAGGUAGUACUUCUUUAAAGGGCAGGACACAGGGUCCUAUUUUUUUCUUCCUCCAUCCCAUCCUACUUCCUGGAAUAUGUAUAUAAUGGCUGGCACCCUAGCCACCAUUUUGCGGGGUGAGGAUAAGUCUCUUCUCUCUAAAGUUUUGGCAUGAAAGUUUGUAUAAUACAUUAAUUCUAAUGAAUUAAUAGAAAUGACAAGUCAUCCUUGGAGUACUGACCUCAAUACUUCUUUUAUGUGACAGAGUAACACCUUUUGUAUUUAAGCCACUUUGAAUUGGGGCGACAGUUCAUACUUAGCUAAACCUACUUUGAUAAUUGUAAAUUUCUACACAAAUAUGAGGAUAUUGUUACCAUUAUGAAUCAAGAAAUCUGUAAAAACAAUGGGUGCAUCUCUUUCCAGUUGAAACAAAGCAAUAUUACUUUAUUAAUUUUUAAAGAAUAAUUUUGACAGUGAGGUAAGAUAGUAUUCUUAUUCUGAUAAGAACUAUUCCACCAUAGUCUCAGUUUUACAGUUCUAAAAUCUUAAGUCCUGGGGGCACAAUACUUUGCCAUACUCAUGGGGACCUACAAUGGAAAUACUUUAUCAAGGAUAUUGCUGAAGGGACAGUAGUUGGCUGAAUGAUUUGUGCCAUGUGAUGACCCCACCUCUUACAACACAGUUAUUUGGACCAAAGGUGGGAAACUAACCAAUGCAUUGAAUACAUAAGCAGAUUAGUGACUUUUGAUUGACAGGUUCUGGAAUGAAAAGAGGAUCUGGGUCAAUCAGCAUCUCUCUGUCAGCAAUUUGAAUUAGGAAAACAAGAUUGGUAUCAGUUAGCAGUGGAAGCUAAAGUCAGCAGAAAUGGUCAGAGUCAGACUAGGAUGGUUAUAUGUAAGCUAAGAAUUUAGUAUGGUAUACCAGGAAUGAGCAGAAGGCUAGGUGAAUAAAGGACAUGGGGUAGAAGGUGAGGAUGCUGCUGAAAAUAGUAUAAGAAGAGGAGAUACAACAAAAUGAGAGGUGGAGAGAGUAAUGCAGAGUCUUGCCAAUGGCAGAGACAUUUGACCUUGUGCAACUAAGGAAUUUGCAGCUGUUGAGUUCCUGCUUCAUUAUGACAAGAUAAAUUGCCAAAUAAUCCUCAUCAUUAAGAGCAAUGGAGACAGAUUUGACUAAGGUCACAGCUCAAGAUGAAUUUGGGAAACAGUGAGUCAUUGCCAGAUUAAUGAUUCAAUUUUCUUAGGAUAAAACUACAAAUCUUAUUUUUGCCAAUUCUGCUAAACACAGAACUGAAUUAACGUAUUAUAAAUAGCUGUCAUCUUAUUGAGCCUCUUUGAUAUGCAAAAAAUAAAUUUUUCACAUGGAAAAGAUUUCUAAGCUAAUAAUAUACAUUUUGGUAUAUUUAAAUUAAAUGAAAAAGAAAAAAUUCAUCUAACCUGAUGACAAUAUGAUGUCAGCUUCUCUGAAAGUACCAAUAAAUGGAUGACACUUACAUAUAUUUUUUAAUGCCGUAGAGAGGAUAUUGGGGCAAAUAUAAAGAUGUAGGGGUGAUAAAGCUAGUAGUUUUGUAGACUAUAUAGACCUAGAGAGUUGGACAGUGUGGUUGAAAAACCCAGUGAAUUUUGUUGUUUUUUAUUCAUUUUAUUUACAGAAAUGGUAUAAAUUUAGCAUAGUCUUGACCUAGAUUUUUGACUGUUGAUGUUGAGAUAUGUUCAUAUUUUAGUUUUUGUGCAUUAAUUUAAAACAACUGAGAGAUGCCAAUAUUGCCUUGGUUCUUCUGAGAAUUCUUUUCUCUUUGUUUACAAGUCAUUUAUAUUUAAAAAAAGCAAUACAGCCCUAAUCAGCCCUAAUAAGUGGUAGUGGAGUCAUGCUGUCUGACAAAAAUAAGAAAGAGCGACAUCUCAGAAACUGACUUUGUGUGGUUUAGGCUGACUUUUAAGUCUCACCGGAAGUUAAUUAAAAUGAACUUUUUUUGGCUUUUUAAGUUUAUUUUAUCAUCUUUGAGUUUACUCAGUGGUAGAUGCCAGAAAAUUCCUCAAUUUAUGGUACUAAUUGAAAAACAACUCUUGAAUCUGGACAGAGAGAUCAGACAUUCCAAAUAUCUCUUUUUAGUUGGAUUAAAGGGUUUGCAAUCUAAAUAUCUCGAUUUGGAAGAAAUGUGAGGAAUUUCAAGGUUUCCAAUCAUAAAACUAUGAAUGAGAGUGCUUGGCCAUGCCAAGCUUAUUUCUGUAAAUUCUUUUGGAGCUCAAAGGGUGUGGUCUAGAUGAGGUUGCCCACGGGGUGAUAUCCAGGGGUUAUAUAUACAUAACCAGAGUGUAUCUUCAUUUUAAAAACAUGUAUAUUAGUUCAUAUCCUGAUUCCUUUAGGGAACUUGAGUUUACUUUGAUUGGUAAGUCUCAGGGUCUAUGAUAUUUUUCCUGGCUAGCCCUGCAAGCACUUGAACUUCUGCCCUUCAAACAGAACACUGCCGGUGGUGAUUGUCCCUGGGUUGGGGUAGAUUACCAACAGCAAUUUCACACUGUGCACCUGAGUGUUUGUUUUGAUGUGGCUGAAGACAAUAUUUACAGUUGUUGUCAGUCUGUCCUCAGGAUGAGCCUAGACUUUUCUUAAAACAGAAUAGCCUCUGUUGUGGUAAUUGACCUACUGCCUACAAGCCUAAAUAUCAGAGGCCCCUAAGCCUCCUUUGAAGGGAUUUCUUUCUCCUUUCCAUUUAACAUCUUGUAGUUUGUGUCACAUUGCAAAGUGUGUGAGCAGAUAAUAAAAGUGAUGACACAUUGGGAAUGCCUUUGAAAAUUGCUUAAUAUUAUAAAGCAUCAGUUUUUUUCCCUUAUAAGGGACAGCCAGACUUUCUAGACUGUACCACUGAUUUUUACUUUAAUGUCAAUGGCUAGCCUGGCAGAUAGAAUAGAAUGAGGGGGCAGAAACUGGAACCGUUGGGAACGUGCUAAGUUGGAGAAUGAAUGCAGCCAGGGAAGAAGGUAGGCGUGCUUGCAGCGAAGAUGAGAGUAAACACAUACUGGUCUAACUUUAACAACGAAGGGAAAGAGUUUCAAGCAGAGGGUUGUCAAGCCAAAAUUUAUUGCUUAAGAAAGUUACAAAAAUGAUUGUAAUGUGGAGACUGAUCCCAGAAUAAAAAUCAUUUUGUGAACACUUGAUUGGGAUUUCAGAAUUUAAUCGUUUUCAGCUGCAACAAUGAAUGUUCAAACCACAUAAGAAGCUUUAGCUUCACAUAUUUAACAGGUUCCCCCCCCCCAUGCUUUAGUUUUAUUUAUUUCUUUUCAUUUUAUGGUGUAUCAUAACCACAUGUCUCUCAUUCACCUUGUAUUCCACUGUUAGUGUAAGAGUGGACUAUAGCAAGCUAAAGGAAAGACUUUGAACUUCAGAUUAAUACCUGAGUUUCAGUCCUUGCUUUUGCAACUAGUUGUAUGACCCUAGACAAAUUACAUCCGCUCCCUGAGUCUCAGUUUCCUCAUCUGCACAAUGGGAUAUUUGUAAAGCACCUAUCCCAUGUUUCCUGCAUUGUACAGGAUACUAGAAAAAUAGUAGCUGUCUUUAUCACUAUGGUUACUGCUUGAAGGUGAGGCUAAGCUGAUAGAAAAAAAAUAUUUAGUGAGAUUUUCUAAUAGAUUAAAAGGAAUGAAAUCAAACCUAGCAGUCAAUAUGGAGCAAAGGCUCACUGCUUAAAAUAAAACUAGUUCGGCGCUCUAACUUGACACAGGUAUAUUAUUAUGUCAUAUAUAUUCAUUCUUAAGUUCCUGUGUGUUCUAGUGAAUUAAAUAACGAAUCUCUUUGAGGUGUGAGUGAAUUUUUCCAGAAGUUAUUUAUUUAAAAGUAAUUAAUGUAAAAGUAAAAAAAUGUAUUCUGUCCUUUAAUUACUAGCUUGGAGUUUAUCUGAGCUCCGUAUGGCCUCUUAGUUUUCUUUUGGUUUUUGCGGGAUUUGUGUCUGUGUGUGCACAUGCGCACGUAUGCGCACAUGCAUGCAUCUGGCUACCUGGUACCUAGUGGUAAUGGUGAGGAAAAUUGACUCUCUUGCAUUAAUAUAUAUGAAUAUGUUAACUAAGAAGCAUUUAUAGCUUUAAAACACUUUAAAAGUAUACCACCACUUGGAAAAGUACCAUUUUAUUUCUUUAGAAAAUUCUUAAUUUCUUGACAUUUGUGUUAACCGAUCACUUGGUUAGUGUCAUUUACUUUUUAUACAGUCAAAGUCAUUAGAUCUAUAUACUUCAUUCUUUGGGCCUGUUUCAAAAUAAGCAUGCACUUGCUGGCACAUGUUUCUGCCACAUUCUUUGCUUCCCCUAAUAGACAAGUUCAGACUUAGCAGGCAAAAGUCCAGUGGAAAGUACCGGAACCAAGGGAAGAAUAUUUGCCUAACCACCCACACCACAAAAUGCUUUCUUGGAAUCUGCUGUUUAAGAUGGACCCUACCCCAACACACGUAACCUUUGUCUUUCUGAAAAGCAAACCUGAUUCUACAAGGAAAUCGCAAAACAAAAAAUAUUGUUCUCUCAAGUUAUGCCGGAUUUAUUUUCAAAAAGAAAACGGAAUCAGGCUAGUUAAAAAAUUAUAAACUGUCCCACGUCAAGUAUCUAACCAUUCAUGGAAGUUGGCUUUUCAAUCUUAGGUUUUAAGAACAGGUAGUGGAGGAUUUAUGUGAAAAGAAAAAUGACUGAAGUACAACCAAAAGCUAUAGAAAUUAAACUUUUUUUGUUUGUGUUUGUUUUAAGGUGUGUGGGACUUUUCUUCUCAGUCUUACGUAACUAUCCUGAUGAUCCUGAACUGAAAUUUUGUUUGCUGAGGUUAUCUUGGCUUCCCCAACCAUAGACCCUAUAGCACACUUUACUUGAUUUGUCUCUGACUUUUAACCCAAUCAGCUGUUUACUCUUUGGAAGUUGCUGCCAUUAGAUUCCGUAACGCCAUUCUUGUGUCCCUCUUCCAGCCUUGCUACUUUUUCCCCAGUCUCUGUUUGUCACUCUUUUUACUUUACUUAUUUCUUAAUUACUACUUUCCCCCUGGAGUUCCAUUCUUGAGCGUAUUAUUUCCUACAUAUAUUCCCUGGGCAACUUUAGUAAGUCAUGAGUCAAAAUAUCACAUGGACACUGAUGAGUCCAUAAUUUCUACCCUCAGCUCUGUCUGUCUACCUUCCCUGUCUGAGGUUUUGCAUUUUAAACUCACAGUUUCCUACAUACAACAUUUUUUUUUUUUUUACGUUGUUCCCCUACUUCCUUUAGACCUUCUUUUCUUCCUGUAUUUUCUAUCUUACAACAUCACUAUCUAUUGUGGAGCCCACUAAAAUCUGUUUAAAGUGAGGCAGUGCUACACUCCCAGCCCUCCAGGACCUUGUCCUUGUCCUUUCUCUACCUGCAGUACUCUCAGAUGUUCCUUCCCUUAGUUAACUCUUAAGAAUAUUAAAUGUAUCAUAUUAAUUCCUCAGAGUUGAUCUCGUAGCUUUAUUUUGCACAAGCUGUUUUAAAACUGACUUUUGUUUCUUAGAAUGUGCUACAGCCUGAAGCAAAAAACACACUUGAGUAAUUAUUAAAUACAGGGCUGUUUUUCACUUGCCCACUGUCUUGCAAGAACAUAGGCAAUGUAUUUAUUUUGGUCCACCAUUAUAUCAAGCACAGUCGCUGGCACCUGGAAUGCUCCUAAUAAGUCCCUUUGGAAAUUGAAUGAGUGAAUUCUUGGCACCUCCUAGUGCCCCUCCACUUCAAUCAGGUGCCAUAUCCUUUUGCUUCUAUCAAGCCACACGUCUUUCACAUUUGCUUUUUCAUUAUUAUCUCCAGUCUGGUUCUUGGAGGAGGUCCUCAGCAUCCCUUGCCCACGAUCAGCCUUAGCUCCAUCCACCAAACCAUUAGUAUUGUUACUUUUUAGAUACAAAUAAGAUUCUCCCACUCUAGAAUCUUCAGUGGCUCCCAAAUUUCUCUAGGAACACAUUUAAGCUCCUAAUCCUGGUCUACAAGAUUCAUGACAAUCUGACUUGAAUCUCCUUUUCCACUGUCAUCUUACCUCGUUAUUCAAGGUAUGCUUCAGUCACUGUAGGAGUCUUAUUUAUGUGCCUUGAACACAUCCUUUUUUUUUUUUCAUUUUCUCUGUUGGUUUCUCUGCUGUUUUGAGCUUCUUAUUCUGUAUCUUGAACUUGAAUAUUGACAUUAAUCUCACAAUUUUAAAUUACGAUAUUCUUACUUUGGCAGGCUAUUACCCAUUUACAUACUUGCAUAAAACACAUUUUCUAACACUCUAUUAGCUGUUGGGUAUAAUUAGCCAAUAAAGGCAAAGAAUGAUGGUAAGAUCUCUUUCUCUGAUUUUAGAUUCUGCCUACUUUUUGUGAAGGGAACUCUUGUUCUGUUUCCCAUUGUAUUUUCAUAUUUGCUCCCUUAUACUUUUCUAUUGGCAUGACUUUUUCUGUCAGCUGCAUUCAGGUCAUAUUUCCUGUAUCACCACUCUGGCAACUAGCAAUUCUCUGUUCUUCUCCAACUGUGGUUAUGCAGAGAUUGGUGGUAAGUAUCCUCUUAUCACCUGCACUGAUCUUACUUGUGAAUCAAAAAUCAGAGUGACCCCAUUUUCUUCCCUACUGUACAUCGAAAAAUGGAGAGUAUUUCAUGAUUAAUUUUUAGUAUAUCUCCCCAUUCUUGAGAAAAUUGGCACAAAUCUUUGAGGGACUAGGCUGGAAGAUAACUUACGCAGCCAUCCUCUACAUCCAAAAUCGUGUCUUUUCCGUACUCCCAGCCAAGUUUUGUGGUCCAGAUUUGUAAUUCUGAAAAUCUCACUGGGAGACUGAGGCUGUAAGACCAGGUGAAAGUUCCAUCUCUUCCAUGCAUCAUUUUCCUGUGUCUUACUUGGUCUUCAGGCAUAAGAGUUUUCCCACUAGACUUGUUGGCUACCUAGCUUAUUAAACUGAGUCACGGACUGAAACCAAAGAGCAAAGUCUAAAAAUAGAUUAGAUAACUCAAAAUUGAUGCAUGAAUGAUUAGCUGUUGAAGUAUUAAAAAUGGAUUACUUGUUGGUACUAGAGUCUCAAAAUUAUUUUCCAAUAUGUCCUCCUAUAUUGUUUGAUCUAAAAAUUAAUGUUUCUCACUAUCGUAAAAUAGAUGAUUUAUGAGGAAGUGCGUGUGAGUUUAAUUACUUUGACAAUUUAUAUAUGUGGUUGCUAGCAAAGCAGAUUCUGGAUUUCUAGAAUAACUAGAGGAAGAAAAAGAGGUUACAUAUUCAAUGAGGAUAUUUCUGCAAUUAGUAGUUGGGAGUAGAUCUUCUUUGUAGAGUUUACCUGGGUGGAAUUUGAAUUUACUCUACUAUGAUAGGAAAGGGUGAAAUAUUUUGACCACCUGCCAUUUAUUGAGAUAUUAGUCUAAAAUUUAUUUAACCUCUCUUUGAUUCCUUUUUCAAAAAGAAAAGAUGAAAAUAUCUAUGUUUAGAUUUAUGGUGAU